UACGAAGGGGGCUAGCGUUGCUCGGAAUCACUGGGCGUAAAGGGUGCGUAGGCGGGUUUUUAAGUCAGGGGGGAAAUCCUGGAGCUCAACUCCAGAACUGCCUUUGAUACUGAAGAUCUUGAGUUCGGGAGAGGUGAGUGGAACUGCGAGUGUAGAGGUGAAAUUCGUAGAUAUUCGCAAGAACACCAGUGGCGAAGGCGGCUCACUGGCCCGAUACUGACGCUGAGGCACGAUAGCGUGGGGGGCAAACAGG
RNAcentral lists this ribosomal RNA (253 nucleotides) under uncultured bacterium. RNAcentral describes it as "partial 16S ribosomal RNA". It matches the Rfam family "Bacterial small subunit ribosomal RNA", at positions 524 to 776 of the family's 1533-position model. The record is from RNAcentral.